CUCUCUAAAAAUUUCGAGCCCUAACUCUCUCUGCCUUCUCUCUAAAUUUCCAGCUCUUUGAACCUUUCAAUCUUGAGUUGGAGGGUGCUCAAACGUUCAUCUCAGUGAAGGCUUCCUUUUGAACCGAUCACAUUUUCGAUUGGACCGGGUUUGGUUGAGUUCUCAUUUGGUGAGACACUGUAAAGGAGAGUUCAUGUAAAGGAGAGUUCAUGUAAAGGAGAGUUCAUGUGAGCUUGGUAAUUCGACUAUGAGAUGAGAGCAAAUGAGGUUGAGGAAAUACCUAUGGAGCAAGAGUUGGAGGAGAAUGAUGCUGUUGCACAUUCUGUAGGAUUUAGAUAUCUAAACUCUUGGAUGUUAAAUACUCAAAACUGUCUGAGUUUAAAACUCUAUAUUAUAUUUUGAAUGACUGUAAUUUCGUACUUAAUUGCAAGUUAUAUUUUAAC
Long non-coding RNA from Vigna angularis (adzuki bean), 443 nucleotides. RefSeq lists it as uncharacterized. The transcript is spliced from 3 exons. The record is from RefSeq and is a predicted model, not a curated record. Lineage: Eukaryota; Viridiplantae; Streptophyta; Magnoliopsida; Fabales; Fabaceae.